UACGGGGGGGGCAAGCGUUGUUCGGAAUUACUGGGCGUCAAGGGCUCGUAGGCGGCCAACUAAGUCGGAUGUGAAAUCCCCAGGCUCAACCUGGGAACUGCAUCCGAUACUGGAUGGCUUGAAUUCGCGAGAGGGAUGCAGAAUUCCAGGUGUAGCGGUGAAAUGCGUAGAUAUCUGGAGGAAUACCGGUGGCGAAGGCGGCAUCCUGGACCGACAUUGACGCUGAGGAGCGAAAGCCAGGGGAGCAAACGGG
This 253-nucleotide ribosomal RNA is filed under the name uncultured bacterium. RNAcentral describes it as "partial 16S ribosomal RNA". It matches the Rfam family "Bacterial small subunit ribosomal RNA", at positions 524 to 776 of the family's 1533-position model. The record is from RNAcentral.